This 433-nucleotide ribosomal RNA is filed under the name uncultured bacterium. RNAcentral's name for it is "partial 16S ribosomal RNA". It matches the Rfam family "Bacterial small subunit ribosomal RNA", at positions 29 to 507 of the family's 1533-position model. The record is from RNAcentral.
AACGAACGCUGGCGGCAUGCCUAACACAUGCAAGUCGAACGAUGCUUUCGGGCAUAGUGGCGCACGGGUGCGUAACGCGUGGGAAUCUGCCCUUGGGUUCGGAAUAACAGUGAGAAAUUGCUGCUAAUACCGGAUGAUGUCUUCGGACCAAAGAUUUAUCGCCCAGGGAUGAGCCCGCGUAGGAUUAGCUAGUUGGUGGGGUAAUGGCCUACCAAGGCGACGAUCCUUAGCUGGUCUGAGAGGAUGAUCAGCCACACUGGGACUGAGGCACGGCCCAGACUCCUACGGGAGGCAGCAGUGGGGAAUAUUGGACAAUGGGCGCAAGCCUGAUCCAGCAAUGCCGCGUGAGUGAUGAAGGCCUUAGGGUUGUAAAGCUCUUUUACCCGGGAUGAUAAUGACAGUACCGGGAGAAUAAGCUCCGGCUAACUCCGUG